UUCAUAAGCGCGGAUCUUCAGAGAUUAGAGUUUGAUCCUGGCUCAGAUUGAACGCUGGCGGAAUGCUUUACACAUGCAAGUCGAACGGCAGCACGGGUGCUUGCACCUGGUGGCGAGUGGCGAACGGGUGAGUAAUGCGUCGGAACGUGCCGAGUAAUGGGGGAUAACGCAGCGAAAGUUGUGCUAAUACCGCAUACGCCCUGAGGGGGAAAGUGGGGGAUCGCAAGACCUCACGUUAUUCGAGCGGCCGACGUCUGAUUAGCUAGUUGGUGGGGUAAAGGCCUACCAAGGCGACGAUCAGUAGCGGGUCUGAGAGGAUGAUCCGCCACACUGGGACUGAGACACGGCCCAGACUCCUACGGGAGGCAGCAGUGGGGAAUUUUGGACAAUGGGGGCAACCCUGAUCCAGCCAUUCCGCGUGAGUGAAGAAGGCCUUCGGGUUGUAAAGCUCUUUCAGCUGGAGUGAAACGGUGCGCUCUAACAUAGCGUGCUAAUGACGGUACCAGCAGAAGAAGCACCGGCUAACUACGUGCCAGCAGCCGCGGUAAUACGUAGGGUGCGAGCGUUAAUCGGAAUUACUGGGCGUAAAGCGUGCGCAGGCGGAUUGUUAAGCAAGACGUGAAAUCCCCGGGCUUAACCUGGGAAUGGCGUUUUGAACUGGCAGUCUAGAGUGCGUCAGAGGGGGGUGGAAUUCCACGUGUAGCAGUGAAAUGCGUAGAGAUGUGGAGGAACACCGAUGGCGAAGGCAGCCCCCUGGGAUGACACUGACGCUCAUGUACGAAAGCGUGGGUAGCAAACAGGAUUAGAUACCCUGGUAGUCCACGCCCUAAACGAUGUCAACUGGUUGUUGGGGGGAGUGAAAUCCCUUAGUAACGAAGCUAACGCGUGAAGUUGACCGCCUGGGGAGUACGGUCGCAAGAUUAAAACUCAAAGGAAUUGACGGGGACCCGCACAAGCGGUGGAUGAUGUGCAUUAAAUUCGAUGCAACGCGAAAAACCCUUACCUACCCCUUGACAUGUCCCAGAACCCUGAGAGAUUUGGGGGGGUGGCCCGAAAGGUAAAUUGGUAACACAGGAGCCUGCCAUGACCUGGUCGUUCAGCUUCGUGUCGUGGGAAUGUCGGGUUAAGUUCCUCUGGGCCUUAA
Molecule: ribosomal RNA, 1144 nt
Filed under: uncultured bacterium
Lineage: Bacteria
Description: bacterial SSU rRNA
Rfam family: Bacterial small subunit ribosomal RNA
Source: RNAcentral